AUACUUACCUGGCAGGGGAGAUUCCAUGAUCACAAAAGUGGUUUCCCCAGGGUGAGGCUUAUUCAUUGCACUCUGGAUGGGUUGACCCCUGUGAUUUCCCCAAAUGCGGGAAACUCAACUGCUUAAGUGGGAAACUGUGUUUGUGCUUUCCCCUA
Sarcophilus harrisii (Tasmanian devil) is the source of this 155-nucleotide small nuclear RNA. Its record names the gene U1. It matches the Rfam family "U1 spliceosomal RNA". Rfam says of the family: U1 is a small nuclear RNA (snRNA) component of the spliceosome (involved in pre-mRNA splicing). Its 5' end forms complementary base pairs with the 5' splice junction, thus defining the 5' donor site of an intron. The record is from Ensembl. Lineage: Eukaryota; Metazoa; Chordata; Mammalia; Dasyuromorphia; Dasyuridae.